Molecule: long non-coding RNA, 370 nt
Organism: Otolemur garnettii (small-eared galago)
Lineage: Eukaryota; Metazoa; Chordata; Mammalia; Primates; Galagidae
Exons: 3
Source: RefSeq, a predicted model, not a curated record
CGAUAGGCGGCUUUGGGGUCGCCCCAGGAGUCCAGCUGCGAGAGACCAAUGGGAUUUGAAAAUGGCCUUGAUGAUUCAGACGGCCGUGACGUCAGCGGGGUCAAGUUGUCGGCAGGCGGAGCGCGCAUCGUGGAGUAACAGCGCCACCUAGCAGCUGCCUCGGGGGAAGAUUCCCGGAGAGAAAGAGGAAACCCGCGAAACUUGGCUAGUUUGGAGGAGUCACGUAUCACGCGGGAAACCAGGACGCAAGACGCAACAAAAUUCGACCCAGAGAAGUGUUCUUUACAUUUCUAGAGCGAAUGUGCUAGGAGCAUUUUUGAAAGAAGAAAGACCAGUCUAUUUUUGUUGUUUUUUAAUAUAGAGAAGAAAU